GUAAUUGUGUGCAUGUCGAGGAACCACUAGUAGUAAUCUCUUUAGAUAACAUUUAUGUUUACGCACACGGUAUUCUUACAAUAUUCAAUUAGAAUAGUUUUUUUUUUCUGUUUUCAACAUAAAUAAACAAUUAGUUUUUUUCUCAGUUAGUGUCUCACAAGUCGCACAACUCAGAUGUUGACACUUUCUUUGGGCUUAGCGUCUGCUCUGGCAAUUCUCUCCCUUCCCUUCACUAAGCAGCCAAGGCCAAGAGCAAGCAGGAGUGCCGCUUAUCUUAUUGAGCCUGUUACGUUUUGGAUUAUCAUGUUGAGAAUUUUCAACAAAUCUAGAGUUUCUCUUCUUCUAUACCAAAACUCAUCGAAUCUCUGAACUGAUCCGUCGGAUUUGUGUAAAAACAGAGAUAGAUAACAUGUAAGAUACCAGAUAUUAAUCACCAUCGGCCUAGACACAACGACUCUCUCAGACCGGUUAUG
Molecule: long non-coding RNA, 473 nt
Organism: Arabidopsis thaliana (thale cress)
Lineage: Eukaryota; Viridiplantae; Streptophyta; Magnoliopsida; Brassicales; Brassicaceae
Product: other RNA
Exons: 2
Source: RefSeq